GGAAAACUCACCCGGUCCGGACACCGCGAGGAUUGACAGAUUGAUAGCUCUUUCUUGAUUCGGUGGGUGGUGGUGCAUGGCCGUUCUUAGUUGGUGGAGCGAUUUGUCUGGUUGAUUCCGAUAACGAACGAGACUCUGGCCUGCUAAAUAGGCCGUCGGUUUCCCCGGCCCGUCCUGCGCGCGCCGGCGGGACUUCUUAGAGGGACAAGCGGCGUUUAGCCGCGCGAGAUUGAGCAAUAACAGGUCUGUGAUGCCCUUAGAUGUCCGGGGCCGCACGCGCGCUACACUGAAGGGACCAGCGUGGUCACCCCCCUUGCCCGAGAGGGCUGGGAAACCCGUUGAAUCCCCUUCGUGCUAGGGAUCGGGGCUUGUAAUUAUUCCCCGUGAACGAGGAAUUCCCAGUAAGCGCGGGUCAUAAGCCCGCGUUGAUUACGUCCCUGCCCUUUGUACACACCGCCCGUCGCUACUAUCGAUUGAGCGGUUCAGUGAGGGCAUCGGAUCGGUCGCGGCCUGGGGUUCGCGCCCCGGCGCCCGCGCGCCGAGAA
RNAcentral lists this ribosomal RNA (545 nucleotides) under Trapania kahel. Its description in RNAcentral is "SSU rRNA". It matches the Rfam family "Eukaryotic small subunit ribosomal RNA", at positions 1208 to 1753 of the family's 1831-position model. Lineage: Eukaryota; Metazoa; Mollusca; Gastropoda; Nudibranchia; Goniodorididae. The record is from RNAcentral.